Molecule: unclassified non-coding RNA, 393 nt
Filed under: fungal sp.
Lineage: Eukaryota; Fungi
Also listed under: 1 other name
Description: partial internal transcribed spacer region
Rfam family: Eukaryotic small subunit ribosomal RNA (bases 1-46)
Source: RNAcentral
AAGUCGUAACAAGGUUUCCGUAGGUGAACCUGCGGAAGGAUCAUUAACACGUAUCCAACGUUAAACCCCCCGUGCACUUUCAGUCCUGCUCUGCUCCAGCAGCAAUCUCUGGUAAAUCAUUGUUGAACAGCGUUUGAUUCAGAGACCUCUGUUGCGGCAUUGAGCGGUAGUUCUAUCGGCAUUGUUUCCCCAAGCAGUCAGUGUCUGACAGUGUCACUGCCUGUGUAAGGAUAGCGCUUCACGAUUUCUGUGACCGAGCACUCGGGCAGAAGCUUUGCCAAAGGGUCCCCAUGCCCCCUUUUUAAUAAACCCCACUACCCUACAACAAAGUUCAUGUAAAACAUGAGCUUCAAAAAAACCGAACAACUGUUGACAAUGGAUAUCUUGGUUCUC